RNAcentral lists this transfer-messenger RNA (372 nucleotides) under Gemmatimonadota. RNAcentral describes it as "JAHWKZ01 sp019347645 Standard tmRNA". It matches the Rfam family "transfer-messenger RNA". From Rfam's summary of the family: Bacterial tmRNA, also known as 10Sa RNA or SsrA, is named for its dual tRNA and mRNA-like properties. Its role is to liberate the mRNA from a stalled ribosome. To accomplish this part of the tmRNA is used as a reading frame that ends in a translation stop signal. RNAcentral also lists the same sequence under 1 other name. The record is from RNAcentral. Lineage: Bacteria; Pseudomonadati.
GGGGGCGAACGGCUUCGACGGGGAGAGACGAGGCGUGGACAGCAGGCCGUGCAUCUCAGGUCCACACGUUAAACGGUCCUGGGAAACCGUAGCUGCGAACGACAACUUCGCGCUGGCUGCGUAACAAAACGUAGCCCGGUCCCCUCUCUCCCGUGUCCGCCGGGGGGAGAUGGACCGUCGCCAAAGCGGACUGGUCGCGCGUCGCGCCUUCUGGCGCGCGUCGAGAGCCCGGCUUCGGUCGGGACGAAGGCUCACCCGGAGGCUGGCGUGUCGGCGGCAGGUCGCCCGGGGACAAGAAUCAGCCGACUAAGCCUGUAGCGGUCUUCGUCGCGCUUUUCUCGGACGUGGGUUCGACUCCCACCGCCUCCACCA